RNAcentral lists this ribosomal RNA (429 nucleotides) under Chloroflexota bacterium. Its description in RNAcentral is "Chloroflexi bacterium partial 16S ribosomal RNA". It matches the Rfam family "Bacterial small subunit ribosomal RNA", at positions 355 to 776 of the family's 1533-position model. Lineage: Bacteria; Bacillati; Chloroflexota. The record is from RNAcentral.
UGGGGAAUAUUGCACAAUGGGCGCAAGCCUGAUGCAGCCAUGCCGCGUGUAUGAAGAAGGCCUUCGGGUUGUAAAGUACUUUCAGCGGGGAGGAAGGGAGUAAAGUUAAUACCUUUGCUCAUUGACGUUACCCGCAGAAGAAGCACCGGCUAACUCCGUGCCAGCAGCCGCGGUAAUACGGAGGGUGCAAGCGUUAAUCGGAAUUACUGGGCGUAAAGCGCACGCAGGCGGUUUGUUAAGUCAGAUGUGAAAUCCCCGGGCUCAACCUGGGAACUGCAUCUGAUACUGGCAAGCUUGAGUCUCGUAGAGGGGGGUGGAAUUCCAGGUGUAGCGGUGAGAUGCGUAGAGAUCUGGAGGAAUACCGGUGGCGAAGGCGGCCCCCUGGACGAAGACUGACGCUCAGGUGCGAAAGCGUGGGGAGCAAACAGG